Nerophis ophidion (straightnose pipefish) is the source of this 923-nucleotide long non-coding RNA. RefSeq lists it as uncharacterized. The transcript has 2 exons. Lineage: Eukaryota; Metazoa; Chordata; Actinopteri; Syngnathiformes; Syngnathidae. The record is from RefSeq and is a predicted model, not a curated record.
CAGGAUCCAAGCGGUGGCCCAUCAGUCCCAUCAUCAGCUGACAGUCAAACAUCAGGAACUGGAGACGAGACAAAGCUGACGUCUGGAUGCAUGUCUUAAGCGAAACAAUCAGGGUGUUUGACAUCUUUGGAGACCCACCAGGCCCACGAUGUUCCAGGGGUGACGACGACUGAUGGACUGGCAACAGCUGAGGGCGAUGGCGACCACAGCAAAGAUGCAGAAGGAGCUGAUAUAAGCGAUAAAGUUAUACUUGACCGCUUUCUUGACCACAUCGGAGAAGGUGAACACAGACACUACAGUGAAGGUGAACACCAGCUGAAGGGUAAGGAUGCUGAACACCUGCAUGGGGAGACAGGCGCUAUUGAAUAAACAUCUCAGAUUUCAUCACAUCCUGUAAGCGAUAGCAGCACAGCACUCGGAGCGCACUGAUUCUAGACCAAAUAAUAAGUGAUGAUUAGCCAUACGAUACCCAAAAAGCUUUGCGGAAAACCGACUGCGUUUACAUUAUUGCAACCUGGAUCAGAUUUGGAUUUACAACUGCUUGCAUAGCGAGUCAGUGAAAGGUGCACCAACCUUCCGAACAAACGCCCUCCUCACUGCCUUGUCCUGGAAAGCAGGCGACUCGUAGAGCGGAACCGCUUCCGGCGUAGAAUCCGGUUUUGUAUCGGGGGAAGACUCGCAUUCCGCCGCAUCACCUUUGACCUCAGGGUCUUCGGGCGAGCCUUGGGAGUACGGGGGCGGCGGCGGCUGCUGUCCCUCUUCAUCGUACGGUGGUGGCGACAUAGGUGUGGGCAUGUCCAAAAAAGCGGGCUCGACUGAUGUCUCUCCUUGCUCAGACAUUGUACACCACGGACGUUACCUUUAAAAAGAAAAUAAAAGUAAUCCAUUUUUUUAUCUUGAGUGAAAAUGGAGUGAGGAAGUGC